UGGGGAAUAUUGCACAAUGGGCGCAAGCCUGAUGCAGCCAUGCCGCGUGUGUGAAGAAGGCCUUCGGGUUGUAAAGCACUUUCAGCGGGGAGGAAGGCGGUGAGGUUAAUAACCUCAUCGAUUGACGUUACCCGCAGAAGAAGCACCGGCUAACUCCGUGCCAGCAGCCGCGGUAAUACGGAGGGUGCAAGCGUGAAUCGGAAUUACUGGGCGUAAAGCGCACGCAGGAGGUCUGUCAAGUCGGAUGUGAAAUCCCCGGGCUCAACCUGGGAACUGCAUUGGAAACUGGCAGGCUAGAGUCUUGUAGAGGGGGGUAGAAUUCCAGGUGUAGCGGUGAAAUGCGUAGAGAUCUGGAGGAAUACCGGUGGCGAAGGCGGCCCCCUGGAAAAAGAAUGACGCACAGGUGCGAAAGCGUGGGGAGCAAACAGG
Molecule: ribosomal RNA, 429 nt
Filed under: Chloroflexota bacterium
Lineage: Bacteria; Bacillati; Chloroflexota
Description: Chloroflexi bacterium partial 16S ribosomal RNA
Rfam family: Bacterial small subunit ribosomal RNA
Source: RNAcentral